UGGGGAAUAUUGCACAAUGGGGGAAACCCUGAUGCAGCGACGCCGCGUGAGUGAAGAAGUAUUUCGGUAUGUAAAGCUCUAUCAGCAGGGAAGAAAAUGACGGUACCUGACUAAGAAGCCCCGGCUAACUACGUGCCAGCAGCCGCGGUAAUACGUAGGGGGCAAGCGUUAUCCGGAUUUACUGGGUGUAAAGGGAGCGUAGACGGCCAGACAAGUCAGAAGUGAAAGCCCAGGGCUCAACCCUGGGACUGCUUUUGAAACUGCCGGGCUGGAGUGCAGGAGAGGUAAGCGGAAUUCCUAGUG
This 303-nucleotide ribosomal RNA is filed under the name uncultured bacterium. RNAcentral's name for it is "bacterial SSU rRNA". It matches the Rfam family "Bacterial small subunit ribosomal RNA", at positions 355 to 675 of the family's 1533-position model. The record is from RNAcentral.